RNAcentral lists this ribosomal RNA (717 nucleotides) under Stenotrophomonas sp. Its description in RNAcentral is "bacterial SSU rRNA". It matches the Rfam family "Bacterial small subunit ribosomal RNA", at positions 23 to 729 of the family's 1533-position model. Lineage: Bacteria; Pseudomonadati; Pseudomonadota; Gammaproteobacteria; Lysobacterales; Lysobacteraceae. The record is from RNAcentral.
CUCAGAGUGAACGCUGGCGGUAGGCCUAACACAUGCAAGUCGAACGGCAGCACAGGAGAGCUUGCUCUCUGGGUGGCGAGUGGCGGACGGGUGAGGAAUACAUCGGAAUCUACCUUUUCGUGGGGGAUAACGUAGGGAAACUUACGCUAAUACCGCAUACGACCUUCGGGUGAAAGCAGGGGACCUUCGGGCCUUGCGCGGAUAGAUGAGCCGAUGUCGGAUUAGCUAGUUGGCGGGGUAAAGGCCCACCAAGGCGACGAUCCGUAGCUGGUCUGAGAGGAUGAUCAGCCACACUGGAACUGAGACACGGUCCAGACUCCUACGGGAGGCAGCAGUGGGGAAUAUUGGACAAUGGGCGCAAGCCUGAUCCAGCCAUACCGCGUGGGUGAAGAAGGCCUUCGGGUUGUAAAGCCCUUUUGUUGGGAAAGAAAAGCAGUCGAUUAAUACUCGGUUGUUCUGACGGUACCCAAAGAAUAAGCACCGGCUAACUUCGUGCCAGCAGCCGCGGUAAUACGAAGGGUGCAAGCGUUACUCGGAAUUACUGGGCGUAAAGCGUGCGUAGGUGGUUGUUUAAGUCUGUUGUGAAAGCCCUGGGCUCAACCUGGGAAUUGCAGUGGAUACUGGGCGACUAGAGUGUGGUAGAGGGUAGUGGAAUUCCCGGUGUAGCAGUGAAAUGCGUAGAGAUCGGGAGGAACAUCCAUGGCGAAGGCAGCUACC